This is a microRNA precursor of Vicugna pacos (alpaca), 87 nucleotides long. NCBI's taxonomy places the organism in Eukaryota, Metazoa, Chordata, Mammalia, Artiodactyla, Camelidae. The record is from Ensembl.
CACCGUCCUACGGUUAGUUUUGCAGGUUUGUCUCCAGCUGUGUGAUAUUCUGCUGUGCAAAUCCAGGCAACACUGACUGUGGUAUUG